CUACCAUGUGCCUGGCACUGUUCUCUUAAAACCAAUUACUGAGAGUUGGGUGGUAUAAUCCCAUUACUUGCCUAAGCUCACACUGCAAGUAAAUGACUGAGUAGAAAUUGAAGCCUACAUUUGUCUUGUUCCUACCCCAUGCUUUUUCCACUGUGUUAUUGUGUCUCACCAGGAGGAGACUAUAGUGAGUAGUAUUAGUGUGUAGUUAUAGUGAUCUUUUAUAAUGUAUUCAGAGUUUAACCUGUUCCUUUUAGGUUCUCUCAUCAAUCUGAUUUACUCUUUUUUUUAGACACCAUUACAAAUAAAUUGCAUUUGCAAAAAAUUAAUGAUUUUGUAUUAUCACCUGGACCCCAACCAUACAAGGUGGCUGUCUAUGUUCCAGGAAGUAAAGGUGCACCUUCAUUUGUUAGAUUAUAUCAGUACCCCAACUUUGCUGGACCUCAUGCAGCUUUAGCUAAUAAAAGUUUCUUUAAGGCAGAUAAAGUUACAAUGCUGUGGAAUAAAAAAGCUACUGCUGUGUUGGUAAUAGCUAGCACAGAUGUUGACAAGACA
Molecule: small RNA, 552 nt
Filed under: Pongo abelii (Sumatran orangutan)
Lineage: Eukaryota; Metazoa; Chordata; Mammalia; Primates; Hominidae
Description: retained intron
Source: RNAcentral